This 484-nucleotide ribosomal RNA is filed under the name uncultured bacterium. RNAcentral describes it as "partial 16S ribosomal RNA". It matches the Rfam family "Bacterial small subunit ribosomal RNA", at positions 30 to 507 of the family's 1533-position model. The record is from RNAcentral.
AUUGAACGCUGGCGGCAGGCCUAACACAUGCCAGUCGAGCGGUAGAGAGAAGCUUGCUUCUCUUGAGAGCGGCGGACGGGUGAGUAAUGCCUAGGAAUCUGCCUGGUAGUGGGGGAUAACGUUCGGAAACGGACGCUAAUACCGCAUACGUCCUACGGGAGAAAGCAGGGGACCUUCGGACCUUGCGCUAUCAGAUGAGCCUAGGUCGGAUUAGCUAGUUGGUGGGGUAAUGGCUCACCAAGGCGACGAUCCGUAACUGGUCUGAGAGGAUGAUCAGUCACACUGGAACUGAGACACGGUCCAGACUCCUACGGGAGGCAGCAGUGGGGAAUAUUGGACAAUGGGCGAAAGCCUGAUCCAGCCAUGCCGCGUGUGUGAAGAAGGUCUUCGGAUUGUAAAGCACUUUAAGUUGGGAGGAAGGGCAGUAAAUUAAUACUUUGCUGUUUUGACGUUACCGACAGAAUAAGCACCGGCUAACUCUGUG